RNAcentral lists this ribosomal RNA (346 nucleotides) under Solicoccozyma aeria. RNAcentral's name for it is "LSU rRNA". It matches the Rfam family "Eukaryotic large subunit ribosomal RNA", at positions 331 to 670 of the family's 3401-position model. RNAcentral also lists the same sequence under 2 other names. Lineage: Eukaryota; Fungi; Basidiomycota; Tremellomycetes; Filobasidiales; Piskurozymaceae. The record is from RNAcentral.
AGACCGAUAGCGAACAAGUACCGUGAGGGAAAGAUGAAAAGCACUUUGGAAAGAGAGUUAAACAGUAUGUGAAAUUGUUGAAAGGGAAACGAUUGAAGUCAGUCGUGUCUAUUGGACUCAGCCGGUUCUGCCGGUGUACUUCCUUUAGACGGGGUCAACAUCAGUUUUGAUCGCUGGAAAAGGGCUGGAGGAAUGUAGCACUCUCGGGUGAACUUAUAGCCUUCAGUCGUAUGCAGUGGUUGGGACUGAGGAACGCAGCACGCCUUUAUGGCCGGGUUCGCCCACGUACGUGCUUAGGAUGUUGACAUAAUGGCUUUAAACGACCCGUCUUGAAACACGGACCAAG